AAUCUGCUACGAUGCAUGGUACUCGAACCAUGACAUCACUCCUCCAUCUGCUACGAUGUAUGGUACUCGAACCAUGACAUCACUCAUCCAUCUGCUACGAUGCAUGGUACUCGAACCAUGACAUCACUCCUCCAUCUGCUACGAUGUAUGGUACUCGAACCAUGACAUCACACCUCCAUUUGCUACGAUGUAUGGUACCCAAACCAUAACAUCACUCCUCAAUCUGCUAAGAUGUAUGGUACUCGAACCAUGACAUCACACCUCCAUUUGCUACGAUGUAUGGUACCCAAACCAUAACAUCACUCCUCAAUCUGCUAAGAUGUAUGGUACUCGAACCAUGACAUCACACCUCCAUUUGCUACGAUGUAUGGUACCCAAACCAUAACAUCACUCCUCAAUCUGCUAAGAUGUAUGGUACUCGAACCAUGACAUCACACCUCCAUUUGCUACGAUGUAUGGUACCCAAACCAUAACAUCACUCCUCAAUCUGCUAAGAUGUAUGGUACUCGAACCAUGACAUCACACCUCCAUUUGCUACGAUGUAUGGUACCCAAACCAUAACAUCACUCCUCAAUCUGCUAAGAUGUAUGGUAUUCGAAACAUGACAUCACUCCUCCAUUUGCUACUUAGAACCUUCAUAAUACUCCCUGUAUCGAGUAUGGGUCCUCUGUUUUCGGUAGUACAGGCCCAUACUACCUGCCAUAUCUACCCAUACUUUCCACACGGACCAUCCCAG
Molecule: long non-coding RNA, 736 nt
Filed under: Lactuca sativa (garden lettuce)
Lineage: Eukaryota; Viridiplantae; Streptophyta; Magnoliopsida; Asterales; Asteraceae
Description: long non-coding RNA (LSAT_LNC004976)
Source: RNAcentral